RNAcentral lists this ribosomal RNA (500 nucleotides) under uncultured bacterium. RNAcentral describes it as "partial 16S ribosomal RNA". It matches the Rfam family "Bacterial small subunit ribosomal RNA", at positions 30 to 523 of the family's 1533-position model. The record is from RNAcentral.
AUUGAACGCUGGCGGAAUGCUUUACACAUGCACGUCGAACGGCAGCACGGACUUCGGUCUGGUGGCGAGUGGCGAACGGGUGAGUAAUGUCUGGGGAUCUGCCCGAUAGAGGGGGAUAACCACUGGAAACGGUGGCUAAUGCCGCAUAACGUCGCAAGACCAAAGAGGGGGACCUUCGGGCCUCUCACUAUCGGAUGAACCCAGAUGGGAUUAGCUAGUAGGCGGGGUAAUGGCCCACCUAGGCGACGAUCCCUAGGCUGUCUGAGAGGAUGAACAGCCACACUGGAACUGAGACACGGUCCAGACUCCUACGGGAGGCAGCAGUGGGGAAUAUUGCACAAUGGGCGCAAGCCUGAUGCAGCCAUGCCGCGUGUAUGAAGAAGGCCUUCGGGUUGUAAAGUACUUUCAGCGGGGAGGAAGGCGACGCGGUUAAUAACCGCGUCGAUUGACGUUACCCGCAGAAGAAGCACCGGCUAACUCCGUGCCAGCAGCCGCAGUAA